GGACGCCAGUCUGCAUGGAGCCGGCCUUGAAAUACCACCCUUUAAUGUUUGAUGUUCUAACGUGGACCCGUGAUCCGGGUUGCGGACAGUGUCUGGUGGGUAGUUUGACUGGGGCGGUCUCCUCCUAAAGAGUAACGGAGGAGCACGAAGGUUGGCUAAUCCUGGUCGGACAUCAGGAGGUUAGUGCAAUGGCAUAAGCCAGCUUGACUGCGAGCGUGACGGCGCGAGCAGGUGCGAAAGCAGGUCAUAGUGAUCCGGUGGUUCUGAAUGGAAGGGCCAUCGCUCAACGGAUAAAAGGUACUCCGGGGAUAACAGGCUGAUACCGCCCAAGAGUUCAUAUCGACGGCGGUGUUUGGCACCUCGAUGUCGGCUCAUCACAUCCUGGGGCUGAAGUAGGUCCCAAGGGUAUGGCUGUUCGCCAUUUAAAGUGGUACGCGAGCUGGGUUUAGAACGUCGUGAGACAGUUCGGUCCCUAUCUGCCGUGGGCGCUGGAGAACUGAGGGGGGCUGCUCCUAGUACGAGAGGACCGGAGUGGACGCAUCACUGGUGUUCGGGUUGUCAUGCCAAUGGCACUGCCCGGUAGCUAAAUGCGGAAGAGAUAAGUGCUGAAAGCAUCUAAGCACGAAACUUGCCCCGA
This 637-nucleotide ribosomal RNA is filed under the name Salmonella enterica. RNAcentral's name for it is "partial 23S ribosomal RNA". It matches the Rfam family "Bacterial large subunit ribosomal RNA", at positions 2166 to 2802 of the family's 2925-position model. Lineage: Bacteria; Pseudomonadati; Pseudomonadota; Gammaproteobacteria; Enterobacterales; Enterobacteriaceae. RNAcentral also lists the same sequence under 2 other names. The record is from RNAcentral.